RNAcentral lists this ribosomal RNA (594 nucleotides) under Lactobacillales bacterium QMA-17. RNAcentral describes it as "bacterial SSU rRNA". It matches the Rfam family "Bacterial small subunit ribosomal RNA", at positions 585 to 1214 of the family's 1533-position model. The record is from RNAcentral. Lineage: Bacteria; Bacillati; Bacillota; Bacilli; Lactobacillales.
UAGUCUGAUGUGAAGCCCCGGCUCACCCGGGGAGGGUCAUUGGAAACUGGGAGACUUGACUGAAGAGGAGAGUGGAAUUCCAUGUGUAGCGGUGAAAUGCGUAGAUAUAUGGAGGAACACCAGUUGGCGAAGGCGGCUCUCUGGUCUGUAACUGACGCUGAGGCUCGAAAGCGUGGGGAGCAAACAGGAUUAAUACCCUGGUAGUCCCGCCGUAAACGAUGAGUGCUAAGUGUUGGAGGGUUUCCGCCCUUCAGUGCUGCAGCUAACGCAUUAAGCACUCCGCCUGGGGAGUACGACCGCAAGGUUGAAACUCAAAGGAAUUGACGGGGGCCCGCACAAGCGGUGGAGCAUGUGGUUUAUUCGAAGCAACCGAAAACCUUACCAGGUCUUGACAUCCUUUGACCACUCUAAAUAAGCUUCCCCUUCGGGGGCAAAGUGACAGGUGGGAUGGUUGUCUCACUCGGUCGAAUGUUGGGUUAAUCCCCAACAGCAACCCUUAUUGUUAGUUGCCAUCAUUUAUUGGGCCUCUACAAACUGCCGGGGACAAACCGAGGAAGGUGGGAUACUUCAAAUCUCAUGCCCCUUUCACUGGGC